This 253-nucleotide ribosomal RNA is filed under the name uncultured bacterium. RNAcentral describes it as "partial 16S ribosomal RNA". It matches the Rfam family "Bacterial small subunit ribosomal RNA", at positions 524 to 776 of the family's 1533-position model. The record is from RNAcentral.
UACGUAGGGCGCAAGCGUUAUCCGGAAUUAUUGGGCGUAAAGAGCUCGUAGGCGGUUUGUCGCGUCUGCCGUGAAGGUCCGGGGCUCAGCUCCGGAUCUGCGGUGGGUACGGGCAGACUAGAGUGAUGUAGGGGAGACUGGAAUUCCUGGUGUAGCGGUGAAAUGCGCAGAUAUCAGGAGGAACACCGAUGGCGAAGGCAGGUCUCUGGGCAUUAACUGACGCUGAGGAGCGAAAGCAUGGGGAGCGAACAGG